UACGAAGGGAGCGAGCGUUGUUCGGAAUCACUGGGCUUAAAGCGUGCGUAGGUGGAUUGGUAAGUAAGGAGUGAAAUCCCAGGGCUUAACCCUGGAACUGCUCUUUAGACUGCCUGUCUGGAAUUCGGAAGAGGUUGGUGGAACUCCCAGUGUAGAGGUGAAAUUCGCAGAUAUUGGGAAGAACACCGGUGGCGAAGGCGAUCAACUGGUCCGACAUUGACACUGAGGCACGAAAGCGUGGGUAGCAAACAGG
This 253-nucleotide ribosomal RNA is filed under the name uncultured bacterium. RNAcentral describes it as "partial 16S ribosomal RNA". It matches the Rfam family "Bacterial small subunit ribosomal RNA", at positions 524 to 776 of the family's 1533-position model. The record is from RNAcentral.